RNAcentral lists this ribosomal RNA (891 nucleotides) under uncultured bacterium. RNAcentral's name for it is "bacterial SSU rRNA". It matches the Rfam family "Bacterial small subunit ribosomal RNA", at positions 23 to 906 of the family's 1533-position model. The record is from RNAcentral.
CUCAGAACGAACGCUGGCGACGCGUCUUAAGCAUGCAAGUCGAACGGUAACACGGGGCAACCUGGUGACGAGUGGCGAACGGGUGAGUAACACGUAGGUGAACUGCCCUUGGGUUGGGGAUAGCUUGUGGAAACACAGGGUAAUACCGAAUGAGGUCAUCGGAUCAGGAUCUGAUGAUGAAAGGGGCUACGGCCUCGCCUGGGGAUGUGCCUGCGGCUGAUUAGCUAGUUGGUGAGGUAAAAGCUCACCAAGGCGACGAUCAGUAGCCGGCCUGAGAGGGUGGACGGCCACACUGGGACUGAGAUACGGCCCAGACUCCUACGGGAGGCAGCAGCUAAGAAUCUUCCGCAAUGGACGAAAGUCUGACGGAGCGACGUCGCGUGGGUGAUGAAGGCGGAAACGUUGUAAAGCCCUUUUAUAGACGAGGAAUAAGCUUUGGAGGGAAUGCCAGAGUGAUGACGGUAGUCUGUGAAUAAGCCCCGGCUAAUUACGUGCCAGCAGCCGCGGUAACACGUAUGGGGCGAGCGUUGUUCGGAAUUAUUGGGCGUAAAGGGUAUGCAGGCGGUUUGCCAAGUCUGGUGUGUAAGACCUCAGCUUAACUGGGGGAGCGCGCUGGAAACUGGCAGACUAGAGUACAGGAAGGGGAGUUGGAAUUCCAGGUGUAGGGGUGAAAUCUGUAGAUAUCUGGAAGAACAUCAGUGGCGAAGGCGAACUCCUGGCCAUGUACUGACGCUGAGAUACGAAAGCGUGGGGAGCAAACAGGAUUAGAUACCCUGGUAGUCCACGCCGUAAACGAUGUGCACUAGGUGUUGGGGUCUUCGAUCUCAGUGCCGUAGCUAACGCGUUAAGUGCACCGCCUGGGGAGUAUGCUCGCAAGAGUGAAACUCAAAU